This 460-nucleotide ribosomal RNA is filed under the name uncultured bacterium. RNAcentral describes it as "partial 16S ribosomal RNA". It matches the Rfam family "Bacterial small subunit ribosomal RNA", at positions 338 to 795 of the family's 1533-position model. The record is from RNAcentral.
CCUACGGGAGGCAGCAGUGAGGAAUAUUGGUCAAUGGGCGCGAGCCUGAACCAGCCAAGUAGCGUGAAGGAUGACUGCCCUACGGGUUGUAAACUUCGUUUAUAAGGGAAUAAAGUUAGGCAAGGGUGCCUUUUUGUAUGUACUUUAUGAAGAAGGAUCGGCUAACUCCGUGCCAGCAGCCGCGGUAAUACGGAGGAUCCGAGCGUUGUCCGGAUUGAUUGGGUUUAAAGGGAGCGGAGAUGGGUUGUUAAGUCAGUUGUGAAAGUUUGCGGCUCAACCGUAAAAUUGCAAUUGAUACUGGCAGUCUUGAGUACAGUUGAGGUAGGCGGAAUUCGUGGUGUAGCGGUGAAAUGCUUAGAUAUCACGAAGAACUCCGAUUGCGAAGGCAGCUUACUAAACUGCCACUGACAUUGAUGCUCGAAAGUGUGGGUAUCAAACAGGAUUAGAUACCCCAGUAGUC